AUAGCAGUCUAAGAUGCCAAAUUACAGAGACGGAAAACACUCACAUCUCCCGCCCUGGUUUCUUUAGACAGUUAUGGCCUUCGCAUUUCCCGCCGUCUCUUUGACCCUGUCUUCUUGGCGGAAUGCUCCCAGCAACAUCCAGGGUGAACUCCUGGCCACCCUCUCCUGCAAUGCUUCUGUGGACCCCAUCUGACAGAUUAACCGAACAACCUCUGUAGUCUACUGUAAACACGAAAACAAAGCCUUAGAGGAGGAAGACCCAUAGAUGGUAUCCACUGUCUUCCUCUUUGCUAGGAAGCUCAUCAAUAUGAUAUAGGAGACUGGAAACUACUUACUUUGGGUAAGUAAUUGAAUUUCCCACUUCCCUUUGCCUAGGUAUGCCUGAGGACAUGCAUUCUAUGUACUGUACUAUAAUUUACAGUCCAAUAGAACAAAACAAAACACAGUUCUCAGUUUGUGGAUGGACUGAAGACUCUGAAAUCUAGAUUUCAGAGAAAUG
Long non-coding RNA from Peromyscus eremicus (cactus mouse), 499 nucleotides. RefSeq lists it as uncharacterized. NCBI's taxonomy places the organism in Eukaryota, Metazoa, Chordata, Mammalia, Rodentia, Cricetidae. The record is from RefSeq and is a predicted model, not a curated record. The transcript is spliced from 4 exons.